This 215-nucleotide small RNA is filed under the name Staphylococcus aureus. RNAcentral describes it as "HMPRFS0000_2143". Lineage: Bacteria; Bacillati; Bacillota; Bacilli; Caryophanales; Staphylococcaceae. The record is from RNAcentral.
UUAAAGAAUUGGUUAAUGAAGCGCAAGCCAUCGAAAUGUCACUUGAGGAACUUCAAGAUAUUUUAACGUUCAUUUAUGAGGAGGAAUCAUCAUGAAUGCCAUAGAAUUAAGUAAUGUUAAUUAUUCAAGUGAUCAGUUUAAUUUAAAGAAUAUCUCUUUCAAAGUUCCUCAAGGAUUCGUCACUGGUUUUAUUGGUAGAAAUGGCGCUGGUAAAA